This 114-nucleotide ribosomal RNA is filed under the name Bacillus haynesii. RNAcentral's name for it is "partial 16S ribosomal RNA". It matches the Rfam family "Bacterial small subunit ribosomal RNA", at positions 1 to 111 of the family's 1533-position model. Lineage: Bacteria; Bacillati; Bacillota; Bacilli; Caryophanales; Bacillaceae. The record is from RNAcentral.
UUCAUGGAGAGUUUGAUCCUGGCUCAGGACGAACGCUGGCGGCGUGCCUAAUACAUGCAAGUCGAGCGGACAGAUGGGAGCUUGCUCCCUGAUGUUAGCGGCGGACGGGUGAGU